GACGAACGCUGGCGGCGUGCUUAACACAUGCAAGUCGAACGGAAAGGCCCUGCUUUUGUGGGGUGCUCGAGUGGCGAACGGGUGAGUAACACGUGAGUAACCUGCCCUUGACUUUGGGAUAACUUCAGGAAACUGGGGCUAAUACCGGAUAGGAGCUCCUGCUGCAUGGUGGGGGUUGGAAAGUUUCGGCGGUUGGGGAUGGACUCGCGGCGUAUCAGCUUGUUGGUGGGGUAGUGGCUUACCAAGGCUUUGACGGGUAGCCGGCCUGAGAGGGUGACCGGCCACAUUGGUACUGCGGUGCGGCCGCGACUCCUACGGGAGGCAGCAGUGGGGAAUAUUGCACAAUGGGCGGAAGCCUGAUGCAGCAACGCCGCGUGCGGGAUGACGGCCUUCGGGUUGUAAUCCGCUUUCGCCUGUGACGAAGCGUGAGUGACGGUAAUGGGUAAAGAAGCACCGGCUAACUACGUG
Molecule: ribosomal RNA, 468 nt
Filed under: uncultured bacterium
Lineage: Bacteria
Description: partial 16S ribosomal RNA
Rfam family: Bacterial small subunit ribosomal RNA
Source: RNAcentral